Molecule: ribosomal RNA, 741 nt
Filed under: uncultured bacterium
Lineage: Bacteria
Description: bacterial SSU rRNA
Rfam family: Bacterial small subunit ribosomal RNA
Source: RNAcentral
AGAGUUUGAUCCUGGCUCAGAACGAACGCUGGCGGCAGGCUUAACACAUGCAAGUCGAACGCAUCCUUCGGGGUGAGUGGCAGACGGGUGAGUAACGCGUGGGAACGUGCCCUUCAGUUCGGAAUAACCCAGGGAAACUUGGGCUAAUACCGGAUACGUGCGAGAGCAGAAAGAUUUAUCGCUGAAGGAUCGGCCCGCGUCUGAUUAGCUAGUUGGUGGGGUAAUGGCCCACCAAGGCGACGAUCAGUAGCUGGUCUGAGAGGAUGAUCAGCCACAUUGGGACUGAGACACGGCCCAAACUCCUACGGGAGGCAGCAGUGGGGAAUAUUGGACAAUGGGCGCAAGCCUGAUCCAGCCAUGCCGCGUGAGUGAUGAAGGCCUUAGGGUUGUAAAGCUCUUUCAGCGGGGACGAUAAUGACGGUACCCGCAGAAGAAGCCCCGGCUAACUUCGUGCCAGCAGCCGCGGUAAUACGAAGGGGGCUAGCGUUGUUCGGAAUCACUGGGCGUAAAGGGCGCGUAGGCGGCUUUGUAAGUCGGGGGUGAAACCUGUGGCUCAACCACAGAAUUGCCUUCGAUACUGCAUGGCUUGAGACCGGAAGAGGUAAGUGGAACUGCGAGUGUAGAGGUGAAAUUCGUAGAUAUUCGCAAGAACACCAGUGGCGAAGGCGGCUUACUGGUCCGGUUCUGNNGCUGANNNGCGAAAGCGUGGGGAGCAAACAGGAUUAGAUACCCUAGUAGUCC